Molecule: ribosomal RNA, 664 nt
Filed under: uncultured bacterium
Lineage: Bacteria
Description: bacterial SSU rRNA
Rfam family: Bacterial small subunit ribosomal RNA
Source: RNAcentral
UCAGAUUGAACGCUGGCGGCAGGCCUAACACAUGCAAGUCGAGCGGUAACAUUUCUAGCUUGCUAGAAGAUGACGAGCGGCGGACGGGUGAGUAAUACUUGGGGAUCUGCCUGAUGGCGGGGGACAACCACUGGAAACGGUGGCUAAUACCGCAUAAUGCCUACGGGCCAAAGUGUGGGACCUUCGGGCCACAUGCCAUCAGAUGAACCCAAGCGAGAUUAGCUAGUUGGUGAGGUAACGGCUCACCUAGGCGACGAUCUCUAGCUGGUCUGAGAGGAUGAUCAGCCACACUGGGACUGAGACACGGCCCAGACUCCUACGGGAGGCAGCAGUGGGGAAUAUUGGACAAUGGGCGCAAGCCUGAUCCAGCCAUGCCGCGUGUGUGAAGAAGGCCUUCGGGUUGUAAAGCACUUUCAGUGGUGAGGAAGGCGUUGUAGUUAAUAGCUGCAACGAUUGACGUUAGCCACAGAAGAAGCACCGGCUAACUCCGUGCCAGCAGCCGCGGUAAUACGGAGGGUGCGAGCGUUAAUCGGAAUUACUGGGCGUAAAGCGCACGUAGGCGGUUUGUUAAGCAAGAUGUGAAAGCCCAGGGCUCAACCUUGGAAUUGCAUUUUGAACUGGCAAGCUAGAGUUUUGAAGAGGGUGGUAGAAUUUCCAGUGUAGC